This is a long non-coding RNA of Scylla paramamosain (green mud crab), 2011 nucleotides long. RefSeq lists it as uncharacterized. Lineage: Eukaryota; Metazoa; Arthropoda; Malacostraca; Decapoda; Portunidae. The record is from RefSeq and is a predicted model, not a curated record. The transcript has 3 exons.
CGCGCGCCACAACACAUGGAGGAGUGCGGAGGAAGUCCUGUGUUUAUAUUACGUGAGUGCAGUUUUUUCAGGGUGUAAGUGUACCGUGUAAUCACUAGCAAAGGUAGUGGCCAUGAACACGGCGGCAGGCAACCAAGAUGGAGAGGCUGCACAAUAGAGCAAAGCCACUUAUUCCAGAGAUCUCAUAUGACGUAGAUCUCAAAGGAAGCGUGUUGAGCGCCGCGUCACCCUCACAGCGGACUAAAUAGGCCAGCAGGAGUCAGCACAGUUCAGCGCUGGUGCAAUUGUGUGGUCGUUGCUACGAGGCGCAGAGGAGGCGAGGGUCGCGACAAAGGUGACCGAGGGGCGGCGGCAGGUCGGGUGGCUGGCUGGCGACACGGCCUUGGUGCUGCUGGGUGUUGCGGAGACAGUAAUAACGGGACUGGCCAAGUUAAGAAUGUGGGUGAGAUGAAACGAAUCACUGCACAACGAGUUUCACUGGGUACAAGUUUCACUAGCACCACUUACACACAGGGCUCGCCGACACCCUGAGAGGCCCCGAAGAAUUGUAUCCGCUGGCACGCGUUGAUCCUUUGUAGGUCACGUGGGAUGCUACUGUGUAUGUGCUUGUGCUGCUUGUGCUUGUCUGGAUGUUUGUACGAGGUGUUACACGAUUAUCACAGCGGGAAUACAGUGAAAGGCACGUUGAGAUCAUCAUUUUUGUAAAGGCAAUUCUUGCAUGACAUGCAUUGGAGCUGACUCAAAAUAGCUUGCGGUACGAGUCAUCGCCUCAAAAAAAGAACAAAAAUAUAAAUACUGCAUACAUAAGAAGACGAAAUUGCGAAUGCUUGUACAGUUACCUAAAUAGUGAUAUCAUAUUCUCCUGAAUGUUUUACUAUAUUUUGUAGCAUCGUUUUUUGGAGUGUGUUUGUUCUCCAUGUGCGGCUGCCUGGCGGGUGUUUAUAUUCCUAGUCUCGUCAUUGCACGUAGCGUGGAUAUGGUUUGGGUAGGAUCAGGACACAAGACUGGACAGACUUAUUUAAGGGCCAAGAAAUUUCCUUAGAUAAAUGAAGGGCACUGUCUAAUCUGAUGGAGAUCUUUAAUUACAUCGAAGUGUUUAACGGGAGAGAGGUAAAGUUUCCAUGAUACAGGAGCAGGUCCGUACCAGUGGAUGUACCUGCGAGUCAGAGCAAAGAGGCGAGGGCACGGGCAGGCUCACAGUAGGGUAGUGGAUGAGUGAACAGAGCAGCCUGAACAGCCACGCAUUGCCAAUAUGGCAGAGUUGUAAACAUGUUGAUAUAUCUGUGAUAAGAUUGUAUAGAUAGACAGAGAAUCAGACAAGUGAGUUUUUCAACCGGUAAUGAAUCCAGAAUUUUAUGUACAGAAAUGAGAUGUUGGUAAUACCAGUCGACGUAGGAAAACUUGAGAAAAGCCUAGGCCAGAAAUCCAGUUGUAGGGAAGGUCAUGGUAAGAACUGUCUGUUGGCGGGAGUGAGAGGUGAAGGAGGCGUGCAGUAAAUUAGGUGCCUAGCAACAUUGGGAAUGGAACCAUACCUCCAGCUGCCCUCCUGGACGCCACCUGCCCGCGUUCUCGAUGUGUGACCAGAAGAAUUUUUCUGUAGAGGUUAAGAUUUUUCUAUGAAUAUUACUAAACAAUCAUGAGGGUUGGUAGCGUGUGCCAGGUUAAUCCAUUUCAUUCCUUGGUGCGGUUACUUGUUUUUUUUUUUUUUUUUGCACACAAGCAUGUGGGGAGAAUGCAAGACCUGCGGCCAACUCGGUCGGUGACGUGGGUCAGCGCUUACACCGGCCCGCUCAAUCUUCCCAUGAUUGUAUAUAUUUCGAUACCUAAUAUACAUAUUUUCUUCGCUUGUCUUAUUUCUUUUACCGCCCGAGGCUCCACUUUUUUGUUUAUGUAUAUACGUAUAUGAUGCUCGUGGCUCCAACGGGACUUGGCGGCACGGCCUAGAGUCACACGUGCGCGGCUUACCCCACUGCCAUUGCUGGUCUCAUGAGGAGACGUGUCUGUCACGCAU